This 23-nucleotide unclassified non-coding RNA is filed under the name Mus musculus (house mouse). RNAcentral's name for it is "oocyte_clustered_small_RNA2890". Lineage: Eukaryota; Metazoa; Chordata; Mammalia; Rodentia; Muridae. The record is from RNAcentral.
UCCUCACGGGGAGGGGGAACGGC